CUUUUCUCUCCCCUUUUAUUUUCCACCCCUACCCUGCUCUCUUUACUACUCAUAUCUUUUAGCGUUUUACUGUCACCAAUGUAUGAAACUGUUUGUCUUCAAUAAAACGCUUUUCUUAAAAAAGGUCACUCAGCAUUCAAACCAGGCCUGUUUUUGUGUAUGAGCUUUCAGUGUGAACAUCCACCAUUAUACACUUUGAUAGGUCAAGACGUAAUGUUGUUUUGGAUGUUACAAACACAUAAGACCUUUUGUAGCCGCACUUUAACUAGUUAAUUUGCUAAAUCCAUAUCUUGUAAUUCCACCCAUACCAUAAAGGAGGGUUACUGUGCUCUAAUUGUAAAGACACAAUGAGUUAUGAACGAGAAACUAAUUCCAUUCCACAAGCACACACAAAAUCCAGCGGCUCAGCACUAAUAGGGUUAGUUAUGUGCCCUCCUUCUGUACAUUUUAGAUUUAUGCCCAUCAUCUGUAGCCCUGGUACUGAACCAUUAAAUGAAUCUGUAUUGUUGUAGAUUUAGCAUUUGCACAUAGGAUAAUUUUGUCUUCAUUUGCACCAUCGAUCACAAAACACUCUACCCUUCCCUUUAUUGCUCAUCCAUUUCUGUCGUAUGUGUUUUAUAUUUAUUAAUUGCCGAUUUGUUUCUUAGAUUUCUAACAUUUUUCCUUUGACUCUUCUGUUUUGACGUCAUUAAAGUGCAGUGAUUUAAAUGUACUUUUGUGUCCUCACAAUUUGCUUUCCCUCAGGAGUGCUGCUGUAUGGGUUCACACACAUACGCUAAAACACACAGACACACACUACAACAUCCACACUCAACGCUACUGUACCAUUGAGCUUAGACGCCAACACAUCACUGUUUUUGUUUUCAAACAAACACAUCUAAUGAAUGAUCCCACCUUUGUGUUUUUGCAGUCUUUAACAUCGUUUAAUGUUAAUAGCCUGACGUCCCCACACGGUAAUGUUGUAUGAUUAACAUAAUUCAUUUUCCUGGACUGUGCUAUAUAUACUGCAUGUGGUGUUGCUGUGUAAGAGCACUAGCUCGUGCUAGCAGCUCAAAAAUUUUUAAAGGGGAGGUGCUGCGCUGUCCAGGACGGGACACACGGGACCAGGCAGUAAAUACUCACCCCUUUAAUCAGCAGUUGUGUAGGUACAGUACACAGUCAAAGGAGAAAGGCGUAGGUAUACGAGCAUUGGUGAGCCACUACUAUUCACUCUCUCCUUUGUUUAAGUUAAUCUUUCUUUGUCUCUCUCAUUUUCUUUUGAAGCUUUUUGCUUAUGGAUGCUGAUAAAUUAAAAAAAAAAAAAUAAUCGAGAGAGAACGAGCUGAUUGAUUUGUUUUUUUUCCUUUUUCAUCUGCAAACGAAUGAGAUUCUUCGUUAGUUGUCGAUGUGUUGUCUUUACAUACCUGUUCUGUAUGGAUGUUAAUGAAUGCGUAAAUGGAUGUUUGGAUGUGUAUUUACAUAUAACGUGGUGGGGAUUAAAGGUGUGACUGAAUACAUACAUCCAUGGGUGGGUUUUUGUGCUCAUUGUUGCAUACAUAGAGGUUAGCUUCAGACAUUUGAUGCUGCAGAUCGGAAUGUGAAAUGUGGCGAGCGUGUGAAAGCGAGUGAGAGAGACUGUGUGAGUGUCGCUGGCUGGUACCUGUUUGUGCGAGUGUAGACGUGUUUGACUGCAACUGGGGGACUUAUUUCAGUGGAUUUGUCUCCCCACCCUAACGUGUCACCGUGUCACUCCUUUAGGUGGAAGAAAAAUCCAAACGAGAGGAGCUGGAGAGAAUUUUGGAAGAAAACAACCGAAAGAUUGCUGAUGCUCAGGCUAAGCUGGCUGAGGAUCAGCUACGUAUAGUGGAAGAACAAAGGAAGAUCCACGAGGAACGCAUGAAGCUAGAGCAGGAGAGGCAGAAACAACAGAAAGAGGAACAGAGGAUGAUUUUGGGGAAGGGCAAGUCCCGACCUCGCCUCUCCUUCACUCUCAAAGCUACAGAGUGACUUCUCUUCUCUUCUCUUCUGAUGUGUGCUUCAUGUUGAAGUGAAUCAGAGUCCCAAAGAGAGGUCUGCCCUGUGCUCUCUGCCCACAUAAAUUACUCUUCGAAAACCCAGGAAAAUCUCACGCUUCAAAACCGGACUUGCAGGCACCACCACAGACUUGCAGAUCAGCUGCCGCCAUCUGCUUUUUUUUUUCAGUGUGUCGUAUUGAUAUUUGACACCGUUAUGCUGGAUGCACCUUCAGAAACAGCCCCCCCCCAAUGGCAAGCAAAUAAGAAUGAAUACGUGUAAAUAUCUGUGUAUAUGAGUGUGCAUGGCUGGUUGGUCAAUAUAUAUCAGUGGUUUGGGAGCUCUGUUGGUACAAGCUCAGUUUAACUACUGUUCUUGCGUUCAAAGCAUAGGGGGAAGUACACAAAAAUGUUUUGAAAAAUGUAAAUUGGCAAACUUUGUUUUGUGCUUAUUAGUGAAUGUAUGUGCAGGAGUGUGUGAGAGCAUUUCAUAUUUUUUAGAUCCCGGACUGAACACCUCAAAACAUAGAGUUUCUAAAAUGCUGCUUAACACAUUGUUCCCAUAAUCACCUGAUAUGAGCUGCGUUUAUAGCAUUGUAACCUAGAUCACAUUUGUCCUCUUUGAUACACCUUACUUAAAUCGCUCAUUUUUGAAACGUAGAACAUAUGUGUGACCAGAACUUAAUUAGCAUUCACAAUACAAACAUUUUGGUGAAAAAAAAAAAGGUUACAAUGUUACAAAGUCUUGUAAUGUGCCUAGUGUUCUGUUGGUACCUUAAGGAAAUCGGGAAUCACAGGUAAGACUAGUUAGGGUGUGUAUGCGAGCGAGUUUGUGUGGGUGUAUGAGUGUAUGCUAGAAGGGUGUUCUUGUCUUGUGGUAAAUUACCCCUUUCCUUGUGAACUGGGACAUUUAGUGUAAUGACCAAUAAAUCCCAUCAACACAA
This is a long non-coding RNA of Sinocyclocheilus rhinocerous, 2935 nucleotides long. RefSeq lists it as uncharacterized. The record is from RefSeq and is a predicted model, not a curated record. NCBI's taxonomy places the organism in Eukaryota, Metazoa, Chordata, Actinopteri, Cypriniformes, Cyprinidae. The transcript has 2 exons.